GGGCCUGUAGCUCAGAUGGAUAGAGCAACGGUUUCCUAAACCGUGGGUCGGGGGUUCGAAUCCCUCCAGGCCUACCA
RNAcentral lists this transfer RNA (77 nucleotides) under Acidobacteriota bacterium. RNAcentral describes it as "tRNA-Arg". It matches the Rfam family "tRNA". Rfam says of the family: Transfer RNA (tRNA) molecules are approximately 80 nucleotides in length. RNAcentral also lists the same sequence under 1 other name. Lineage: Bacteria; Pseudomonadati; Acidobacteriota. The record is from RNAcentral.